RNAcentral lists this ribosomal RNA (368 nucleotides) under uncultured organism. Its description in RNAcentral is "bacterial LSU rRNA". It matches the Rfam family "Bacterial large subunit ribosomal RNA", at positions 2099 to 2465 of the family's 2925-position model. The record is from RNAcentral.
CUUGACUGUAUCUUGGAAUUGGGUUCGGGCUUUUCUUGCGCAGACUAGGUGGGAGGCUAUGAAGAUUUUCUUCCGGGAAAGUUGGAGUCAACAGUGAGAGACCACUCUGGAAAGGCUAGAAUCCUAAUGGUGAUCCUUGAAUCAGGACACUUGACAGUUUCAGGUGGGCAGUUUUUCUGGGGCGGAAGCCUCAUAAAGGGUAACUGAGGCGCGCAAAGGUCCCCUCAGUCUGGACGGAAAUCAGACAUUGAGUGUAAAGGCAAAAGGGGGCUUGACUGCAAGACCUACAAGUCGAGCAGGGGCGAAAGCUGGCCUUAGUGAUCCGACGGUGCCGUGUGGAAGGGCCGUCGCUCAACGAAUAAAAGUUA